GAGAGUGUGGCCUAGUGGUUUGAGUGUUAGACUGUGACUUUGGAGAUUAGGGUUUGAUCCCCCAUUCAGCCA
Phrynosoma platyrhinos (Desert horned lizard) is the source of this 72-nucleotide non-coding RNA. Lineage: Eukaryota; Metazoa; Chordata; Lepidosauria; Squamata; Phrynosomatidae. The record is from the annotation of a GenBank genome assembly.